ACCGCCAACAGCGCGGUUCAUCAUUCAUUUCAUAAACGACUUCAGUUUUCCAUCUUCACUCAGAUCCUUAGCAGUGAGCUGCCUCAGAGAUUUGCCUCGGUGAUUUCUGUUUGAUAAAGUCUUCUGAAUGAACCUUGAUUGAAGGCCAUGAAAAUCUCAUUGUCUUUUCAUUUUUCGCCAAGUGUUUAUUGAAUACUCACUGUAUGAUGAACAUUGCACUAAAUGUGGAUGAGCCAAUAGCAAAGACAUCACCCCUAUGGGGAACCACGAUGGCCAGACUAUAAGCCCACCAAGGAAGAACCAGCAUGGGGCCUUCCACAUUGUCCUAAUGAGGAGCUAUUUAUAGAUUUCCUCACCAUCCUGAUUGCUGCCGAAAGAGGGGAGGACUAGCAGCUGCCAGCUGGGUCAUCUCCUUCCUGCCUGCCUGCCACUAGGUGUCAUCAGCAUCAUGUGCUAUGGAAUCUACGUCGUUGACACAGAUGGAGGGUAUAUAGAAGAGCGUAUGAAGUACCCAAAAGGGAGAGGGAAAACCAGGACCAGAUAGAAGAGAGCAAAGAGCAGGAGUCCAUUCGUGGAAGAUCUCUAGUGCCUACUGUGCAAGAGCCUAAGGAUGUAUUAGAAAAGAAGAAAGACGGAGACUUCAGAGGUAAGAAAUAUUUGAGAGGAUUUCAGAUUAUUAAAGAGUAUUUAUUGAAUUUAGAGAUUUGAUCAUGAUCUGUUUACAGAAGAGAACAUGUCAUUUAUAUUUUCCUAGUAACAACUGCAUGCAUUCAAGUAAUCCUUCCAUAAGUGGGAAGAUGCUCGGUGCAAAGAAAUGAAGAGUUGUC
Peromyscus maniculatus bairdii (prairie deer mouse) is the source of this 827-nucleotide non-coding RNA. Lineage: Eukaryota; Metazoa; Chordata; Mammalia; Rodentia; Cricetidae. The record is from RefSeq and is a predicted model, not a curated record.